RNAcentral lists this unclassified non-coding RNA (593 nucleotides) under Hevea brasiliensis (rubber tree). The record is from RNAcentral. Lineage: Eukaryota; Viridiplantae; Streptophyta; Magnoliopsida; Malpighiales; Euphorbiaceae.
GGCUUUUGAGAAGAUUGUGAAAAUCUUUUGAAUUGAUGCCAAAUGAUCUUAUAAAAUAUACUAGCUAGCACCAGGAAAGGGAAGUAUCAUACAAUGUAUGGUUUAAAAUGGUCCAUUUUGAUACAGCUUUUCAUGGGCCAAUGUUUCAAUGAACCAUUUAUCUGCCAUUACUGUAUUGGAAUUCAAUGUCACCAGCGUUGACAAAAGUGGGAUAAAAAGAUUCCCACCUCCUUUUUUAGUAUUGGAGUUAACAUAUAAUUUUUUUUAUUUUUAUUUUUUGUAUUUGAAUUUUUUUAAUAAUUUAUUAUAUUCAAAAUAAUAAGUAUUAAUUAUUUAGUAGGCCAAUAUUUUAUUGAAAUCCUGUGGACACAUAGCAUUGAAUUGCCACGCUGCAACGAAGUUAGAGUUACACUUAUACUAAUCGUUUUAAACUUUUGAUAUGAUAGUAAACGCUUAAUCUUAAAUUGAUAUCAAAGUCGAGACCAUGGAUUCAAAUUCUUAACAAGUGCUAAUGGAAUUGUUGACACUAAAUGCAGAUAGUUUAAUGAGCCAGUGUCUUACCCAAAUCACUUUGGCUCAUAGCUCUUUUUUUU